RNAcentral lists this ribosomal RNA (380 nucleotides) under uncultured eukaryote. Its description in RNAcentral is "partial 18S ribosomal RNA". It matches the Rfam family "Eukaryotic small subunit ribosomal RNA", at positions 592 to 976 of the family's 1831-position model. The record is from RNAcentral.
CAAUAGCGUAUAUUAAAGUUGUUGCAGUUAAAAAGCUCGUAGUUGGAUUUGUGGCGUACGGUGUGUUCCGGGCACUUGUUGUCUGAGUAACCUGCUGUUGCCAUCCUUGGGUGGAACCUGUGUGGCAUUAGGUUGUCGUGCAGGGGAUGCCCAUCAUUUACUGUGAAAAAAUUAGAGUGUUCAAAGCAGGCUUAUGCCGUUGAAUAUAUUAGCAUGGAAUAAUGAGGUAGGACUUUCUUGCUAUUUUGUUGGUUUGCGCAAAGAGGUAAUGAUUAAUAGGGACAGUUGGGGGUAUUCGUAUUCCAUUGUCAGAGGUGAAAUUCUUGGAUUUUUGGAAGACGAACUACUGCGAAAGCAUUUACCAAGGAUGUUUUCAUUAA